Molecule: long non-coding RNA, 1267 nt
Organism: Triticum aestivum (bread wheat)
Lineage: Eukaryota; Viridiplantae; Streptophyta; Magnoliopsida; Poales; Poaceae
Exons: 4
Source: RefSeq, a predicted model, not a curated record
UUUCUUUUUUCUUUGUUUGUCCACGCACCCAGCCCAAGCCCACUCCCACUCCCACUCCCGAUAAUUCACAUCGACGAACCCUUCGCCUCCCCACAAAACUACCGGCGCCGCCGACCUCGACCCCGCCGCCGGCCAUGGCCUCCCCUGUACCUCCUCUCCCCUCGUCACAAGACAAGAGGCAGAGCAGGUCAGGCGCGCCGUAGCCAGAUCCAUCCGCCGACGUCCACCACGAGGACCUUGAUCUGCUUCCUCACCUCACCUCUCCUCAUCGCAGGCGGCGGCCAGAUCGAGAUUCCUCCGUCAAGGGCCAUGGCCAUGGCCUGAUUCCUCGGGACCCCGGACGCCGCUGCUCGUCCAAGGUCCGCUCGGGCCAUUUUCGAUUUCAUGAACCCAUGUUUCGAAAGACGCUGCUACGGAACACACGGUAAGCAUACAGAACGCUGGAUACGGUUGUGGAUAGCAGAGGAAUUGGAAACCAAGAUGGUUCCUGCGAACCAAACGGGUCGCUAGUUUGCUUGCUACCAAAGUGGUGUUUGCAGCUGUUCAAGAAGAAUAUGCAUCUCUCUUCUGCACACAUACAUGUCAAAGACGAGAUUCACAUGAAGGGUUUAGUCACUAGCACAAGGAUUCAGUACAACAUCGUCACUGAGUAAUGCAUAGGAGAAGGAAGGGUUCAUCUUGACAGCCAAGCCAAGCUAACAGAGGACUAGGGGGAAGCGCUCUUCUCCUGCUCAAGCAUGCCGGACAGGACGGCCGUCAGCAACAUGGACAUCGUGUACAACAACGUCAACGUGGAUGCUGCCAACAGGAAUGACAUCUUCAUCGGUAACACACAUGCAUGUAACGCAUGGAUUUUAUUCGUUUGCCAAAAAUGUUGCUGUUGAUAUGAUGAGUAUUACUCUGAUGUUGUUUUGGUGCAUGUUGUUUUGGUGCUGAUGAAUUGGCUAGCCAAUCACGUUUGUAAACUAGCUAGUGUCUGUUUGUGAGAUGUGCACGCACCCCUGGAAACUGUGUACCUUGCUGAUCUGGGGCCAGAAAUUUGCUAGCAUAGCAAAGCUGAUCAAGGGUCUUGGCAUUCUAUUUGUUGUUGUUCUUCCGUUCACUGACACAUGGAUAGAUGGAUCAUUGAGGCCAAGACGCUGGAAGAACAAGGAGGGCAAAAAAAGAACCCAUCCUGUAUCUAGAUUCUGUGUAUAAGUAUGUAUGACUAGUAAAGUUGUGAUGUUUUGAAUACAAGAAAUAGAAAUUCUUGAUAUCAUUUCUUUCA